RNAcentral lists this non-coding RNA (256 nucleotides) under Maribacter arcticus. The record is from RNAcentral. Lineage: Bacteria; Pseudomonadati; Bacteroidota; Flavobacteriia; Flavobacteriales; Flavobacteriaceae.
AUUUUCGCCGUGAAUUUUGGUUUUCGCUGCUUAUGGUAGUGAAAUUAAAAGGGAAUCCGGUGUAAAUCCGUAACUGUUCCCGCAACUGUAAGUUUAUGUCAACUAUAUCUAUUGGCGAAUAGAUUUCAAUUGGCACUUCUGUAAAGAAGAUGUUAUUUUCUUCAUAGCCACUUUGAUUUCUGAACAGGUUCAGUAACAUGGGAAGGCGAAAUAACAUAAAACGAGUCAGGAGACCUGCCUUAUUCAAACAACAAUG